UCCUCAAGGCUUACUUCUAAGGUUACCAGU
Molecule: non-coding RNA, 30 nt
Filed under: Mus musculus (house mouse)
Lineage: Eukaryota; Metazoa; Chordata; Mammalia; Rodentia; Muridae
Source: RNAcentral